UACGGACAUAUCAUGUUCAAAAACCGGUUCACUUACGAUCACCGAAGUUAAGUAGCUUGAAGUCUGGUCAGUAUUUAGACGGGUGACCGCUUGGGAAUACCAGGUGGUGUA
Acanthosepion pharaonis is the source of this 111-nucleotide non-coding RNA. Lineage: Eukaryota; Metazoa; Mollusca; Cephalopoda; Sepiida; Sepiidae. The record is from the annotation of a GenBank genome assembly.